AAGUCGUAACAAGGUAACCGUAGGUGAACCUGCGGUUGGAUCAUUACUAAAUGAUGGUUUAUAGGCUUGAGCUGAAACUUUUCUGCUCGUCUAUAAGCUUUUUCAACCCUUUGUGAAUUUGUGACUGUUAUUUGGGUUAGCAAUAACCCAAACUUUUUUUUAAACCAAUAUUAUUUUUUUAGCCUGAUUUCUAAGUUAAAUGAUUAACAACUUUUGACAACGGAUCUCUUGGCUCUC
This 237-nucleotide unclassified non-coding RNA is filed under the name fungal sp. RNAcentral's name for it is "partial internal transcribed spacer region". The stretch from base 1 to 46 matches the Rfam family "Eukaryotic small subunit ribosomal RNA", at positions 1786 to 1831 of the family's 1831-position model. The record is from RNAcentral. Lineage: Eukaryota; Fungi.